UACGGAGGGGGCUAGCGUUGUUCGGAAUUACUGGGCGUAAAGCGCACGUAGGCGGACUGUUAAGUCGGGGGUGAAAUCCUGGGGCUCAACCUCAGAAUUGCCUCCGAUACUGGCAGUCUCGAGUGCGGGAGAGGUGAGUGGAAUUCCCAGUGUAGAGGUGAAAUUCGUAGAUAUUGGGAAGAACACCAGUGGCGAAGGCGGCUCACUGGCCCGUAACUGACGCUGAGGUGCGAAAGCGUGGGGAGCGAACAGG
RNAcentral lists this ribosomal RNA (253 nucleotides) under uncultured bacterium. Its description in RNAcentral is "partial 16S ribosomal RNA". It matches the Rfam family "Bacterial small subunit ribosomal RNA", at positions 524 to 776 of the family's 1533-position model. The record is from RNAcentral.